AAAUUGAAGAGUUUGAUCAUGGCUCAGAUUGAACGCUGGCGGCAGGCCUAACACAUGCAAGUCGAGCGGAAACGAGUUAUCUGAACCUUCGGGGGACGAUAACGGCGUCGAGCGGCGGACGGGUGAGUAAUGCCUAGGAAAUUGCCCUGAUGUGGGGGAUAACCAUUGGAAACGAUGGCUAAUACCGCAUAAUGCCUACGGGCCAAAGAGGGGGACCUUCGGGCCUCUCGCGUCAGGAUAUGCCUAGGUGGGAUUAGCUAGUUGGUGAGGUAAGGGCUCACCAAGGCGACGAUCCCUAGCUGGUCUGAGAGGAUGAUCAGCCACACUGGAACUGAGACACGGU
This 343-nucleotide ribosomal RNA is filed under the name Vibrio alginolyticus. RNAcentral describes it as "bacterial SSU rRNA". It matches the Rfam family "Bacterial small subunit ribosomal RNA", at positions 1 to 330 of the family's 1533-position model. The record is from RNAcentral. Lineage: Bacteria; Pseudomonadati; Pseudomonadota; Gammaproteobacteria; Vibrionales; Vibrionaceae.